AGUGGUAGCGUAUAGGCUAUUUACCGUGCUUUGACAGACUGAAUGAAGCUGGACCAGGUUUAUAAAAGGUGUGGAACAGACUGAAUGAAGCUGGACCAGGUUUAUAAAAGGUGUGGAACAGACCGAAUGAAGCUGGACCAGGUUUAUAAAAGGUGUGGAACAGACUGAAUGAAGCUGGACCAGGUUUAUAAAAGGUGUGGAACAGACUGAAUGAAGCUGAUGUCGUCUAUCCUUGCCAUUCAUAAAUCAUUCAUACAGUAUGUCCAUGGUAUCGCGUCAGGACAACUAAAGAGCUCGUUUGUUUCCAUCAGGACUUCCCAGACAGUGACUCGUCAGUAGUCUGCCGCAUCAGUAAGAGAGACGUUCAUUUGGCUUCCUAAUUUGUAUACUGGUAGGGGCUUUUCUGCAGAUAAAUGACGAAAAUAUUAAAAUGAACCUGGUGAAUCAUUCUCACUGCACGAACAAUAGGGUAGAGGCUAUUGUUCGUCAUUCUGGUUCAAAAUAUGACAAAAGAAAAAACAGAUUGUAUUGAUAAAAGGCCAACUGAUGUAAUCAAUGUGCUGGUUUCAGUGUAGCAAAGCCCCAUAUUUAACACCUGCUUCCUUCUUCAAAUCACACCUGUAUUUCAGGAUGCCGUGGACGUCAACAGACUCUUACAUGACGACAUAUUAAAAAAAAAAAAGUAGUUCUGGAAUACAAAAAUCAACGGUUUACCCGAUAUGAAUGAAAAUACCCUCCAAUUAAAGCUGACAGUCUGCACUUUAACCUCAUAGUCAUUGUUUGGUUUCAAAUCCCAAAGUGCUGGAGUACGGAGCCAAAACAUCCAUAAAAGGUGUCACUGUGCCAAAACUUUUGGAGCUCACUGACAAAGGCUAACUUUCCGAACCUUCCCAACAAUACAGAGAGAAAGAAAACAGAUGUAAUAAAAAGGUAAAAAACGUAAUAAUAAUUACACAAUGAUAACUAGGUUAUAUACACAGGGUACCAGUACUGAGUAAUGAUAACUAGGUUAUAUACACAGGGUACCAGUACUGAGUAAUGAUAACUAGGUUAUAUACACAGGGUAGCAGUACUGAGUAAUGAUAACUAGGUUAUAUACACAGGGUACCAGUACUGAGUAAUGAUAACUAGGUUAUAUACACAGGGUACCAGUACUGAGUCAAUGAUAACUAGGCUAUAUACACAGGGUACCAGUACUGAGUAAUGAUAACUAGGUUAUAUACACAGGGUACCAGUACUGAGUAAUGAUAACUAGGUUAUAUACACAGGGUACUAAACUUUAUGGUGUUGGAGUCGUGUUUGGCCACGCAGUCGUGGGUGAACAGGGAGUACAGGAGGGGGCUAAGCACACACCCCUGAGGGGCCCCAGUGUUGAGGAUCAGCAUGGCGGAUGUGUUGUUGCCUACCCUCACCACCUGAGGGCGGCCCGUCAGGAAGUCCAGGAUCCAGUUGCAGAGGGAUGUGUUUAGUCCCAGGAUCCUUAGCUUAGUGAUG
Molecule: long non-coding RNA, 1494 nt
Filed under: Salmo salar (Atlantic salmon)
Lineage: Eukaryota; Metazoa; Chordata; Actinopteri; Salmoniformes; Salmonidae
Description: lncRNA (ENSSSAG00000094141.1)
Source: RNAcentral